GUUCAAAUGAGGAAGGUCUUACGAUGGAUACCUAGGCACCUAAAGAUGAGGAAGGGCAUGGUAAACGACGAAAUGCUUCAAGGAGUUGAAAAUGAGCAUAAAUACAGAGAUUCUCAAAUAGGUUAACCUUUUUAACUCUUGCUUAAUCCAUGGGAAGACAAGAGACAACCUGGUGAACUGAAAAAUCUUAGCAACCAGAGGAAUAGGAAUCAAAAGCGAUUCCCGUAGUAGCGGCGAGCAAAAUGGGAGCAGCCUAAACCCUGAAAACGGGGUUGUGGGAGAGAAAAAUACAAUAUCUGUGCUGCUAGGCGAAGUUGUCGAGUCCUGCACCCUAGAUGGUGAGAGUCCAGUAGCCAAAAUCAUCAUUGCCUUACGCUCUAACCUGAGUAUCAUGGGGCAUGUGGAAUCCCAUGUGAAUUAACAAGCACCACCUUUCAAGGCUAAACACUCCUAGGUGACCGAUAGUGAAGUAGUACUGUGAGGAAAAGGUGAAAAGAACCCCCAUCGGGGAGUGAAAUAGAACAUGAAACCGUAAUCUCCCAAGCAGUGGGAGGAAAAUGAUAUCUCUGACUAUGUGCAUGUUGAAGAAUGAGUCGGUGACUUAUAGGUAGUGGCUUGGUUAAGGGAACCCACCAAAGUCUUAGUGAGAGCGAGUCUUCAUGGGGAAAUUGUCACUGCUUAUGGACCCGAACUUGGGUGAUCUAUCCAUGACCAGGAUGAAGCUUGGGUGAAACUAAGUGGAGGUAUGAACCGACUAAUGUUGAAAAAUCAAUGGAUGAGUCGUGGUUAGGCGUGAAAUGCCACUUGAACCUAGACCUAGAUGGUUCUCCCCGAAAUGCGUUGAGGCGCAGUAGUUGACUGGACCAUCUAGGGGUAAAGCAUUGUUUCAGUAUGGGCCACAAGAGCGGUACCAAAUUGAGGCAAACUCUGAAUGCUAGAUUGUCCCAAUAAAAGGGGUAAAGGUCAGCUAGUGAUAUGAUUUACCCAAGGAGCCGAAUGAACAUGAAAUUCUCAUGUUCUAAUUGUUCCAAAUUAUUAGAAGCAGUAUUGAUGAGAUCCUCUUUCUCUCGUUCUAUUUGGGAGUCUCCAUUUACCCGGAUUUCGCCCGCUAUAAUUUCCACUUCCCUUAAGCAAGACUGAGCUUUCUCAAGUUGAUCGAUAGCUCCUUUACAUAGUUCUUCCGAAUUCUGAAUAGUAUUCAAUAUUAUUUUUUACAGUUAUCUAAUAGAUUACUUAAUGAAAGUAGAUUAUCUAUUCAAAAAAUGAACAAAUUCAUAAUCUCUUCCCAAACUGAACACGAACCUUUUGAUUCAUUUGGAUCUCCUUCUCAGUUCUUUGUUUAUUCCCCAGGAACAUAUGCAUUCCCUUCCUUCAUCAACACCAAUCUUUCCCUUUCCAUUCUAUUUACGGAAGAUUAGAAUCAAUCUAUAAAAGACUGAUAUCUUCGAAGGGCUCUUUUAGCAAAAGGGAUUUGCAAUUAUUAAUAAAGUUUGUGUUUUUCUUGUCGUUUCCCAUUUUCUCUCAUCUUCUUCCCCCAUGAAAUUUGAAUCAAUGUGUUUGGUUCAAUCAAUUGAUUUGUGCCUUCUCCUUUUUGUUCUAUCGAAUAAUUUCCCUUCUAUGUAGAUCGUCAGUUUAGCAUUGGAACUAAAAUUGGAUGGGAGAUUAGGACUAUUUUUAAGAAAAUAUAUCAAAUUAUUCCAUUAAUAUGAAUGUUAUAUAUCAUAUCAAUCUCCAACUAUGCCUUUUAAUCCAUCUCAUCUUGACACGACGGAGGAAAGAGUACCCAGUUAGUUGUGCUUAGACUUCAAACAGUUCAACUUUAACCAUUCUAAUGGUCCUCCCUCAUUGGUUGGUAUAAACUAAGAGUUCAUUUCCCAAUCAAUUACGAAAUGCUA
Picea glauca (white spruce) is the source of this 1895-nucleotide non-coding RNA. Lineage: Eukaryota; Viridiplantae; Streptophyta; Pinopsida; Pinales; Pinaceae. The record is from Rfam.